RNAcentral lists this ribosomal RNA (1419 nucleotides) under uncultured bacterium. RNAcentral's name for it is "16S ribosomal RNA". It matches the Rfam family "Bacterial small subunit ribosomal RNA", at positions 19 to 1395 of the family's 1533-position model. The record is from RNAcentral.
CUGGCUCAGGAUGAACGCCGGCGGUGUGCCUAAUACAUGCAAGUCGUACGCACUGGCCCAACUAAUUGAUGGUGCUUGCACCUGAUUGACGAUGGAUCACCAGUGAGUGGCGGACGGGUGAGUAACACGUAGGUAACCUGCCCCGGAGCGGGGGAUAACAUUUGGAAACAGAUGCUAAUACCGCAUAACAACAAAAGCCACAUGGCUUUUGUUUGAAAGAUGGCUUUGGCUAUCACUCUGGGAUGGACCUGCGGUGCAUUAGCUAGUUAGUAAGGUAACGGCUUACCAAGGCGAUGAUGCAUAGCCGAGUUGAGAGACUGAUCGGCCACAAUGGAACUGAGACACGGUCCAUACUCCUACGGGAGGCAGCAGUAGGGAAUCUUCCACAAUGGGCGCAAGCCUGAUGGAGCAACACCGCGUGAGUGAAGAAGGGUUUCGGCUCGUAAAGCUCUGUUGUUGGAGAAGAACGUGCGUGAGAGUAACUGUUCACGCAGUGACGGUAUCCAACCAGAAAGUCACGGCUAACUACGUGCCAGCAGCCGCGGUAAUACGUAGGUGGCAAGCGUUAUCCGGAUUUAUUGGGCGUAAAGCGAGCGCAGGCGGUUGCUUAGGUCUGAUGUGAAAGCCUUCGGCUUAACCGAAGAAGUGCAUCGGAAACCGGGCGACUUGAGUGCAGAAGAGGACAGUGGAACUCCAUGUGUAGCGGUGGAAUGCGUAGAUAUAUGGAAGAACACCAGUGGCGAAGGCGGCUGUCUGGUCUGCAACUGACGCUGAGGCUCGAAAGCAUGGGUAGCGAACAGGAUUAGAUACCCUGGUAGUCCAUGCCGUAAACGAUGAGUGCUAGGUGUUGGAGGGUUUCCGCCCUUCAGUGCCGGAGCUAACGCAUUAAGCACUCCGCCUGGGGAGUACGACCGCAAGGUUGAAACUCAAAGGAAUUGACGGGGGCCCGCACAAGCGGUGGAGCAUGUGGUUUAAUUCGAAGCUACGCGAAGAACCUUACCAGGUCUUGACAUCUUGCGCUAACCUUAGAGAUAAGGCGUUCCCUUCGGGGACGCAAUGACAGGUGGUGCAUGGUCGUCGUCAGCUCGUGUCGUGAGAUGUUGGGUUAAGUCCCGCAACGAGCGCAACCCUUGUUACUAGUUGCCAGCAUUAAGUUGGGCACUCUAGUGAGACUGCCGGUGACAAACCGGAGGAAGGUGGGGACGACGUCAGAUCAUCAUGCCCCUUAUGACCUGGGCUACACACGUGCUACAAUGGACGGUACAACGAGUCGCAAGCUCGCGAGAGUAAGCUAAUCUCUUAAAGCCGUUCUCAGUUCGGACUGUAGGCUGCAACUCGCCUACACGAAGUCGGAAUCGCUAGUAAUCGCGGAUCAGCAUGCCGCGGUGAAUACGUUCCCGGGCCUUGCACACACCGCCC